RNAcentral lists this transfer RNA (65 nucleotides) under Raneya brasiliensis (banded cusk eel). Its description in RNAcentral is "tRNA-Cys". Lineage: Eukaryota; Metazoa; Chordata; Actinopteri; Ophidiiformes; Ophidiidae. The record is from RNAcentral.
AGCCCUGGGGUGUUACCAUGACGGAUUGCAAAUCCGGAGAAGCAGACUAGCGUCUGCCGGGGCUU